Molecule: ribosomal RNA, 245 nt
Filed under: uncultured Tessaracoccus sp.
Lineage: Bacteria; Bacillati; Actinomycetota; Actinomycetes; Propionibacteriales; Propionibacteriaceae
Description: partial 16S ribosomal RNA
Rfam family: Bacterial small subunit ribosomal RNA
Source: RNAcentral
UACGUAGGGUGCGAGCGUUGUCCGGAUUUAUUGGGCGUAAAGAGCUUGUAGGCGGUUUGUCGCGUCGGGAGUGAAAACUCAGGGCUUAACUCUGAGCUUGCUUUCGAUACGGGCUGACUUGAGGAAGGUAGGGGAGAAUGGAAUUCCUGGUGAAGCGGUGGAAUGCGUAGAUAUCAGGAGGAACACCGGUGGCGAAGGCGGUUCUCUGGACCUUUCCUGACGCUGAGAAGCGAAAGCGUGGGGAG